ACGGAGGGUCCAAGCGUUAUCCGGAUUCAUUGGGUUUAAAGGGUCCGUAGGCUGGAAAAUAAGUCAGUGGUGAAAGCCUACAGCUUAACUGUAGAACUGCCAUUGAAACUGUUUUUCUUGAAUUUAGAUGAAGUGGGCGGAAUAUAUCAUGUAGCGGUGAAAUGCAUAGAUAUGAUAUAGAACACCGAUUGCGAAGGCAGCUCACUAAACUAACAUUGACGCUGAGGGACGAAAGCGUGGGGAGCGAACAGG
Molecule: ribosomal RNA, 252 nt
Filed under: uncultured bacterium
Lineage: Bacteria
Description: partial 16S ribosomal RNA
Rfam family: Bacterial small subunit ribosomal RNA
Source: RNAcentral